RNAcentral lists this ribosomal RNA (497 nucleotides) under uncultured bacterium. Its description in RNAcentral is "partial 16S ribosomal RNA". It matches the Rfam family "Bacterial small subunit ribosomal RNA", at positions 28 to 507 of the family's 1533-position model. The record is from RNAcentral.
GAUGAACGCUGGCGGCGUGCCUAAUACAUGCAAGUCGAGCGAACGGACGAGAAGCUUGCUUCUCUGAUGUUAGCGGCGGACGUGUGAGUAACACGUGUAUAACCUACCUAUAAUACUGGGAUAACUUCGGGAAACCGGAGCUAAUACCGGAUAAUAUUUUGAACCGCAUGGUUCAAAAGUGAAAGACGGUCUUGCUGUCACUUAUAGAUGGAUCCGCGCUGCAUUAGCUAGUUGGUAAGGUAACGGCUUACCAAGGCAACGAUGCAUAGCCGACCUGAGAGGGUGAUCGGCCACACUGGAACUGGGCCGCGGUCCAGACUCCUACGGGAGGCAGCAGUAGGGAAUCUUCCGCAAUGGGCGAAAGCCUGACGGAGCAACGCCGCGUGAGUGAUGAAGGUCUUCGGAUCGUAAAACUCUGUUAUUAGGGAAGAACAUAUGUGUAAGUAACUGUGCACAUCUUGACGGUACCUAAUCAGAAAGCCACGGCUAACUACGUG